CGUAGAUCGCCCGGUCUACGUUUACCUCCAGGUGGCAGGAAAUGGCAGGGAACAGCUGCACAUACUUCACGAGAUGGUCUUUGACCCACUGGUCAUUAACGGGACCCCUCUCAGGAUGGCGGCACUCCGUGCUAUGGCGAUCAAGGACACUAAAGCAUUGAAUAACAGUGUUAUUUUGUGGAAUACACAGCCAUAGACACUGUAAUACUAAUUACUGUGGCAUACUUACUAUUUAAUGUACCCCACAUCAUUUUCAGCCAGCCAUCUGAAACUCUUCCCUUUGUACUUCCCAAAGGUCAGCAUCAGCUGGUCCAGGCACUGCACCUCGGUGGGGUCUGGAGUGACCAUCCGGCAUCUCCUUUUAGCUAAAGACAACGUAAGCACAAAUGGUUCUAGUGCCCUGCUUUUAAUUACCAUGGCUGGAUGUAAACACAUCUAUGACUCCCAACUACAGUAUUACCUUCUUCCCAAGCUGUUUUGGGGUCUCUUAACCCAUCGUCACCUUGUACCGGAUGGGGCUGCCUAACAGCUUUGGCCUCCUUAGAUGCCCUUAGGAGGCAUUGUUGCCUAUCUUGAGGCACUGUUUUGUCCAAAAUGGACAGGACAGGCAUCAGAGGGUCCAUUUUUUUGGGCUGUGAAGACGAGCAGUAAACUCAGAGUGCUUCAUGUGGUGGCCGGUCCUGAGGGUGGCGUUGAAGCAGUGGAUCCAGUGGAACACAUCCAGACGAACGAGCAUCCCUGCCUCUGCCCAUCCGCUGAACAGCUGCUCCUCUGAGGAAACGCCCAGGACACGACAGCAGCCACGGUCCACGUACAACAGUUCAGGCGGUGCCUCUCCUGCCCUCUCAUACCUCGCCAUGAGCCCCUCAGCCAUCGGCCUCAUCUUGUCCAAAGACUCCUCGCAGGUUAGGACCGAGAUGAGGAUCUGCCCCCUGCACGUUGGCCACGUUCGUGCACCACUCAGCAGUGCCUUUGCCGUCACCAGACAACUCCUGCACCUGCCUCCACACCUUUGUCAUCGUGCUCCCCUCGGUGCGGUCCCUCAGGAGGCGGAUCACCGCCUUGUCCACACCACGCCUGAAAUCACAACACAUUGGCAGUCAAUCUCAGAUAUGUUAUUGUACAGUCAAUAAAGAAUUCAAAUCACUGUGGAAUUAUGCUCACUGUAACGGGUGGAAAUACGGCUCUGUGCGCUGGGGUGAGUUGACGCAAGACGCCCUCCUCCCACUACAGGAACCGGCCGAUGGCGUGGUCCUCGGAGUCCUUGGCAGCUUUCCGGCAGGCUUUGCAAGCCAGAACCUCCGUGAGCAUGGAGUACCAGCCCCCGACGUCACAGAUCUGACAGACGGUCUUCGAAUACCCACAACUGUAGAGGAACGCGCUGUUCUUGUCCCUCGCAGGACACUCAGGCCUGUGGCAGCAAAGACCGUACCGCUACACACCCACCGGUCUCCAAAAACGCACGCGGCUCUUGAAAAAGCCGUCCGCCGAGGGCACUCACCCCCCUACCACGCCAGGGGUCUCGGAUGGGUAAAACCACAUUCGGUCAUCUUUGAGGACUCUCCUCCACCGCGUUCUCCCAUAUUUGUCUACGUAAGACAUGGGCUUUUGGAAGAGUCCCCGCUCCUCAUCCUCCUUCAGCCACUGCUGAUCCUGUGUGGGCAGACCGUAGCUAGCAGACUCCCACAUCCUGUGCCAUCCCUCAUACUUCAUCUGAAAUUACAGAAAAAAAACAGGGCCUAACUUACCUCCUUGGGCCUGUUCUACGAAGGAAGUUCAACCUACCCAGAUGUAACCCAGGGUUACUUUGCUAAACCGGGGUUGACAAAACCAGACGUGAGGAUCUGCCCCUGCUCACUGGCCAGGUCGGUGCACCAUUCUGCAGUGCCUUUCCCAUCCCCAGACAAUUUCGUUCAGAUCUGAGAACAGAUUAACAUUGACAAAACAUUAAGAGGCUUGAGUGCCCAGCAAGUGGCAGUAAGACCGCAUUAUCUGUACCGUUGUGGAUACUCCCACACAGUCAGACAGAUCUGCGGAAUGUCUGGCUGGUUCUCCAUGCUGACGGAGUUGCUGGCCUGUAAUGCAUGGAGGAAAGCGGCUAAAGAGUCACAAGAACACCCCAUUGGCCGUUUCCUGUCAUGGGAGGCAUGCAUAAUGGACCAGCUCAUCCCAGCUCACAGGGCUGUGUUCCCUGCUGUACUUAUCUUACGGCGUGGUGUGGACAAGGAGGUGAUGCGGCUGCUGAGGGUCCGUACUGAGGGCAACACAAUGUCCAAGGUGUGGAGACAGGUGCUGGAGAGCCAUUGCGAGGAGUUACCUGCAGAGGAAGGACCUCUAUACCACCCUCCUCAGCCAGUGCAAUGAACCUGGAAAGAUCACGAGGAAUUUGAGUGUGUCCUUUCAACCUCCUCCACCAAGGGCAGAGCCACCAUCAGCAAAACUGCUACGGAAGGCCUCAAUGAUUGCAGAGGCAGACAAUAUAGAGGAUUAUCGCACCCAGAUCAUGUCGACAUUUGGAAAAGUCCUGAAGUAUGACUCCACCAAAAAGAUCGGCAAGAAAUUGUCUGGGGAUGGGAAAGGCACUGCAGAAUGGUGCACCAACAUGGCCAGUGAGCAGGGGCAGAUCCUCAUGUCCCUGGAGAAGCUACGUCCAAUGGCUGAAGGCCACCAGAGCGGGAGAGGCGCCUCCCGAACUGAUGUAUUUGGCCAGCCUGGGAAAUUGGGUUUGAUUUGGUUUUCCACCAUUUCAGUGGAUCCUCUUGUGUAGUUGCAGGCAUGGAAGAGUACCUGGACAUUUCUAGGGUCAGCAUCUGUUCAGACGUGUAGUCCUGUUCUCUAUCCUCUUGCUGUUUUCUCAUUGUCUUUUUGAGGAGACCAGAAAUUCCCUUCGAUGCAGAGCUGGCUUGAGCGAUGUCUUGAGGUUCUCCAGCAGUUGAACUGGUGCCAGCUUCCUCCACACUCUCUACCUCUCUGUUAAGAAGAUGGAGUACGUCCACGUUUUCGACAAAACUCGAAAUCGAGGGUCAAGGGCGCAUGUCAUAAUGACCACAUCAUCUAUAUUUGGAUCUGAGUAACGGGACAGAAGAUCUUGCUUGAUGGCACUCUUCAUACUGCCCACUAGAUUGCUGUCCCCAUCCUCCAUGGCCAGGAUAUUCUCUGUGAGAUGUAAGAGUACUGGUUUGAGGGCAGAGACAGAGAUGCAAGUCUCUGAAGACAUUGAGUCAGUGAAGGCUCUUAGUGGCUUGAGGACUUUGGCUGUGUCUUCAAGGGUUGAGAGAAAUGCCCCUUUGAGCACAAGGUGCCUGGUUUUCCGGUCUGCCAUGAGUGUCGCAGCCACUGCAGCAUGUUGUUCCACAAACCUGAAAGCACACAAUGUAAUUGGUUAUGUUUAUUAUACAGCUCUUGCAAGUAGAACGCUCUCUUGACUUGAAUGGGCUUUAGCAAAGGUCUAUGGUCACUUGUUUUCGUUUCAGUUUUGAAUGCAGCUUUCAUGUUUGCAGCGUUGCCUGUUGUCACGUUCACCACUGCAUUCUUGCUGAUUACCCGCUCCUCCAACAGAUCGUUAAAUGUCUUUUUGAUGUUCUCACUGGUGUGGUCGAGGGGGAGUGAUGCAGUUUCAAGGCAGGCUGAUUUCAGCUCUCAUCCAUUUGUUGAAAAAUCAGUUGUUAAGCUCAUAGGUGGCCUGUCACACUCGUCCUAAGAUCAAAAUGUUCCCCUUCUUGCAACAAGCUCAUGACCCCAGCCUUGUUCUUUAGGCAGAGCUUUGGAAUCGCUUUCUCUAAAAAAAAAACUUUCUCAGAGGAAUUUUAUAUUUUGGAGCCAGCGCUUUAACAAACGCAUAAAAUCCUGGCCUCUACACCAUUCUAAAAGGCAUCAUAUCUUUAGCAAUAAAAUAGGUUUAGGCCUAAACUAUGGUAACUCUAGAUUUUAAAUAGGGUUUUAAUAGACCAUUCCGAUCUGUCAAUCAAGCCUAGCGGAAUAUCAGGUUGUCUGAUAACACCCACAUGUAAUUUGUAGGGCUAACAUACCACCAGAGAGGGUUAGAGCGGAGCGCAACCACAAGAUACUUAUGUCAGCAAUGGAGUGAUUUGGUUACACACCUCUUAUCACAGCCGUGAUCUUUAAGACUGCAAAAGCCUUCUUUCUCCCCCCUUGUCCCAGCCAGUUGAAUUGUUGGGCAAACUGGUCCUCCGUAAUGUGGCGCAGCACCUUCCUCACCACAUCCCCGGGGUUGCAACCUCCCAGGGUUGCAAGGUAUGCAGCCUACAGAUAAGAACAGAAUGGAUACUAGUGUUUCAGAAAGAAUAACUUGGUUUGUGGUUUAUACUGUACAGUAAUUUCCCGCAUAUAAGCCGAAUUGUGCCGCAUAGGGUCCCGCAUAUAAGCCGCAGGACAGUGUUUCAUGCAAGUUAAAAAGAACAAAACCAUAUUAACACCAUAUUAACUGGCCCCCUGUAUUAACCUCAUAGCUGAGGAAAUUUUGCAAAAUCAAUGUAUAAGCCGCGGCCAAUUGUCGGGAAAUUACGGUAGUUAGAAUAAGGUGGAAAAUGAACAGUGUUAGCCAUUUCACUAAUGAAGGAUCUUUGAUACCACCGUACUAAUGUAACAUGGUUUCACAUGAUGGAGUUUUUAAGUAAAAAUGUCUUGCAGCUGCUGUUACAUUGUAUUACUGUGCCAGCCACCCAAAAGUUUAACGGCAGUGCUAUUGCUAACGAACAAUAAUCAGUCUGUGCUACUGUUCUGUUCAUCAUGAUGACACUUCCACAAAUCCUUCAUUCAGUCACUCUUUCAUCUUCUACUACGCUAACGGCCUUACCAGAUAUGUUUGUGAGGUACUUACUGUAGGCUAUAGCACUGAACUUAUGACAUCAUCUUAUGCUAAACCUAUACGUUAUCUGCUUACCCUCUCCAUGGUAACACAAUGAUUUGGGUGAUAGUUUGAAAAAUUGUUGAAACAUGUAUUCACAUACAUAUUGAUAAUCUGAAAAAACAUACUAUGUGUGAUUAAAUAUAAUGAAUGAUUAAUGAAAUGUAUUCCUCUACAUUGAUGAAUGAAAACUGUAUUGAGUAAUGAAACUAACUCCAUACUGUAAUUAAGGAUACAAGGUUAUGUAAAAUCAUAUUCUUUGUAACCAUGUACUCUUAUAUUUGAUAGAUCCUUUGAACAAUGUGUUCUUUUGUUUUCCUAUGUACCAGCAAUCUUUUUAUGCUAUUGUGUAUCAGCAAUGUUUUGAUAUGUUUAGCAAUAUUUUGGUCUGUGUAAAACACCUGAUUUACCAGGGGAGAUGAAAGUUUCACUAGGCCCAAAAUGUAACCCGCAAGUUCUGUUUUGUUAUUGAGAACAGAAGUUAUGUUCUGUUUAAAAAUAUUCCCCCUCUUACACAUGU
This is a long non-coding RNA of Sardina pilchardus (European sardine), 5387 nucleotides long. RefSeq lists it as uncharacterized. The record is from RefSeq and is a predicted model, not a curated record. The transcript is spliced from 4 exons. Lineage: Eukaryota; Metazoa; Chordata; Actinopteri; Clupeiformes; Clupeidae.